AGCGAACGCUGGCGGCAGGCUUAACACAUGCAAGUCGAGCGGGCCUUCCGGGGUCAGCGGCGGACGGGUGAGUAACGCGUGGGAACGUGCCCUCUGGUUCGGAAUAACUCAGGGAAACUUGAGCUAAUACGGGAUACGCCCUUUUGGGGAAAGGUUUUUUGCCGGAGGUUCUGCGCGCGUCUGAUUAGCUAGUUGGUGCGGUAAUGGCUCACCAAGGCGACGAUUAGUAGCUGGUUUGAGAGGAUGAUCAGCCACACUGGGACUGAGACGCGGCCGAGACUCCUACGGGAGGCAGCAGUGGGGAAUAUUGGACAAUGGGCGCAAGCCUGAUCCAGCCAUGCCGCGUGAGUGAUGAAGGCCUUAGGGUUGUAAAGCUCUUUUAUCCGGGACGAUAAUGACGGUACCGGAGGAAUAAGCCCCGGCUAACUUCGUG
This 433-nucleotide ribosomal RNA is filed under the name uncultured bacterium. RNAcentral's name for it is "partial 16S ribosomal RNA". It matches the Rfam family "Bacterial small subunit ribosomal RNA", at positions 29 to 507 of the family's 1533-position model. The record is from RNAcentral.